Long non-coding RNA from Homo sapiens (human), 1311 nucleotides. RefSeq lists it as uncharacterized. Lineage: Eukaryota; Metazoa; Chordata; Mammalia; Primates; Hominidae. The transcript has 3 exons. The record is from RefSeq and is a predicted model, not a curated record.
CUCUCAGGACAGACAGACACCAUAGAAAGUACAUCAGCCAGGGGGCAGUGUCAGAGACGCAGCACUGGGAGAGGAGGACAUCGUCAGGCUGGCCCAGGACCAGGAGGAGAUGAAGGUGAACCUGCAGGAGCUGCGGGGCAGGUGUUGCAGCUUGUGGGCGACCACAAGGAGGGGCAUGGCAAAUUCUGACCAUUGCCCAGAACCCUGCUGAUGAGCCCACUCUAGGAGCCCCAAUCGCCCGGGAGCUUGGGUGUGCGGACAAGCAGGGUGGUGAGUAGAGCCCUCAGGCGGGGUGGGCAGGCAGGAGCAGGGGAGGAUCGAACUGUGCUCAGAUUCCCACCCCCCUCUCUCUCUCUCUCUCUGAAGAUCUUUGUGAGGUGAGCCUCACUGAUAGCAUGGAGGCUGUACCAGGAGAGGACAGGGAGGGUUCUCCCCAUGACAACCCCACUGCACAGCAGAUCCAGCAGCUGCUUCCUGUAAUGCAGGACUCCCCAGGAGCACCCAGGCAUGGGCAGCAACCCCUGCAUGCCAUUCUUUUUGGGCUGCCGAGAACAGGGAGAUAAACACCACCAUCAUCUAAGAGCCGGGGAGGGGAGGGCGUAGGUGUGGGAAUGGCAAGGUUCCUGGUAAAGGGGCUGGAAGGGAAAGGGGAGGAAGAUGGAGGGAGAAGCUGGAGUGCCUGGGGGCUGUGGCAGCCCUCCCCACCCCACACACACUGGCCUCUCCCACGGCACCCAGGCAGUCCACCCACAGUUCAGACCAAUGCUCAACCCCCUCAGGCUUCCGCUUCUCUGGUCACCGUCUUCCAACGCACUGGCCCAGGGCCACCUCUUGCUUGGGGAGCCCCACCCAACAGCCACCAAGCCUGACAGAAGGAACACUGCUUGAACCAAAAUGGUGAAGCUAUAAGGGAUGGCUGGCUGGAGUGAAUGCCAGAGGCCCCUCUGGGCUGUCUGAAAGCCCAGGGUCCUCUGAGGGACCCUGGGGAAGGCAGGAAGGGCAGGUAGCCGGAUGCCAUUGGCCAUAGACUUCUAAGUCUAACAGGGGAGCCUCAACUGGUUGGUGGAGGGCUGCAGGUUGCAUAGGUGAGGCUGGGCCCUUCCUGCUGGGAAAAGCAGAAGAGGGAGACUCUGUGGCAGUAAAGGGAAGUGAGCUGUCUAGGCGGAGCUCAGCUAGGCCAGCAUGCAUUGUGGGCCCCUUGGCUGAAUAGCACAGGCGACCCCUAGAAGCAACAGGCCAAGGUGCGUGAGCCUGCUGGCCAGCAGUAGUGCUUCAGCAGGGGCCAGGGACCCUGCCUUCAGUCGCACGCUA